This 466-nucleotide ribosomal RNA is filed under the name uncultured bacterium. RNAcentral's name for it is "bacterial SSU rRNA". It matches the Rfam family "Bacterial small subunit ribosomal RNA", at positions 330 to 793 of the family's 1533-position model. The record is from RNAcentral.
UCCAGACUCCUACGGGAGGCAGCAGUGAGGAAUAUUGGUCAAUGGGCUUACGCCUGAACCAGCCAAGUCGCGUGAGGGAAGACUGCCCUAUGGGUUGUAAACCUCUUUUGUCAGGGAGCAACGCCGGCUACGUGUAGCCGGACUGAGAGUACCUGAAGAAAAAGCAUCGGCUAACUCCGUGCCAGCAGCCGCGGUAAUACGGAGGAUGCGAGCGUUAUCCGGAUUUAUUGGGUUUAAAGGGGGCGCAGGCGGCCUUUAAAGUCGGGGGUAAAGCCCGGGGGCUCACCCCCGGCGAGCCGUUGAAACUGGCGGGCUGGAGUUGGAGAGAAGUACGCGGAAUGCGCGGUGUAGCGGUGAAAUGCUUAGAUAUCGCGCAGAACCCCGAUUGCGAAGGCAGCGUACCGGCUCCACACUGACGCUGAGGCACGAAAGCGUGGGUAUCGAACAGGAUUAGAUACCCUGGUAG